Nothobranchius furzeri (turquoise killifish) is the source of this 2404-nucleotide non-coding RNA. The record is from RefSeq and is a predicted model, not a curated record. Lineage: Eukaryota; Metazoa; Chordata; Actinopteri; Cyprinodontiformes; Nothobranchiidae.
ACGUCUAAAUUAACUUUUUUUUGCUGAUGAACUGUAUAAAUGAGUGUCUAAUAGUGUUUUAAAUGUGUGUAUUCAUUAUUUUAGCAUUUUGGUGCAUUUUCUUAAAAAAUUAAAAAUUCUGCCUAAAUACCACAGUAUAGCUCCACCUUCAGCUUAAAACAUAGAAUUUGACUCAUUUUGAAUAAAUUUUAGCCAAUGGCUAAAGAGUAAGAUACUACGUAAUCCAGUAGAGUACUACGUAGCAGCUCUGUGUCAACGUUAUAAAAGCAUCGGGAGUCUCGGCCACGCCUUGUGGCAAGUUGGGAGUUGGAUUUGCAUGAGAGUGUAGGAGGCUAGCCGUAGUUCAGCAUUAGCAUAUAGCAUUAGCAUAUCCUAGUCUUUAGCAUAGCUUUUAGUGUUAUACAUACUUAUUUAGUGUUAGCUUGGCUGUUGGAUAUUGUAGUUUAGUUACUGUUUGGCUGUUAGUGUAAUUAGGAAAGUAGUUCGGGUUUAGUGCUCCAUAUCGUGUUAGCAUGGUGAGAUGGUGUAGUGUAGUAUGGUUGCGGAGCUCUGUCGGGUUUCACUCCUUUCCGCUGGACUUAGAAAUUAGGCGCCAGUGGUUGCGUGUCUGGAAAAGAUUCAGCUCCCGCCUGGUGCUGUAGUUUGCAACCAGCAUUUUACCCGCGAUUCUGCACGUCUCCGUUCCAAGAGGGAGGCUGUGCCCACCGUGGCUCUUCCGCGAUUUAGAUGCAGCCCACCGACUCUGCUCCCCCACCAUGACGGGCUACAGUCUGAGGCUAAAUCUACCCAAGACACUGGCUGUCAGACUGAUUUAGUAAUCUGCAAGAAUGCACUUGUCCAGGCUGACGUGGUGUUACCCGUAGCAAAGAGCUCACAGCCUCAGUGUCUUGUGACACAGGGACCAUGACAGAAAUUCAUCUUCCAGAAGGUCCCAGAGCAUCCACACCUCCUGAAAAGACCACGGUGUGAGGUGUCUGCUGUUGAUUCCAGCUUCCACCUCAGUGACAGUGCAAGCUCAGUGAACUGUUCAAGGAGGCUACUGAUUCUGGCCCUGUGACACUUGGUGGUCACCACCAGGUGGUGACGUGUGAGCUGAUUCACCUGGACACUCAGCAAAAUAUGGACUCUACACCAUGAGGCAGGCACACGUUAAUACUCAAUAAGAGCACAUAAGCCUGGCUGAUCACCUGAUAACUCCUGUCAUCUGGUUAUGACAGCAUGAGGAUGUCCUCACACACCUGUAACCUACCAGCUCAUCUGGCAGAAUAGAGAGAGAAGAGACAACACCACAUCUCCUGUUCCUGGAAAGCCUUCAGCCAUCCUUUGAUGACUGAGAACCUCCAUUAGCUCUGUCUCCUGUCUGCCUACAAUUAUUAUAAUAAAUAUUGUGUUUGACAAGUUUUUUUGUGCUGCCAAAUAUCUCAUUUUGAUUCCAGUUUUGAUAUUUUAAUGGAUAUUUAUAAAUUACAUUAAUUGAAUUAUCACAUUGUCGCAUGUUUAACUAGCUCUAUUGUGAUGAAUUAAACUAGCACCUCACUGUUAAAAGCUCGUUUUAAUUUCAAGCAUGUUUAAGUAUUUAUGGACAUGAACAAAAACAGGAAAUAUAUAAAUUGAGAUUUAUUUAAUUAAUAUAACAAAUAAGGGGGAAAGAGUCAUUGAAAGGCACAUUCUUCUGGAAGCUCCUGAUCCCGACGACAUCAGCAGGAGACCAGCUGCAGACACCAGAGGAUCACCUGCAACCAAGAGCAGCUAGUAUCAGUAAAUAAAUAAUGAAAUCAGGGCAGUUUUAAUGGGCUGAACACAUUACAGAAUAAUUUUCUCAUGGGAUAUUUUCAUAACUUUAUGCAGCAGACUAGCUUGAGCCCAGAUCUGGAGAGCUGCUAUCCAGCACGUUUCAGUGGAUUUUCCUGCUUUAACAGGUUAGAUAAGCUGUUAAGCAGCUCAGCUGUUUGUUGCUGAUUAAAACCAGGUGUGUUGAUGCAGUUAAAUCUCUAAAACAUGCUGAAUACUAGCUUUUUAGGGCCAUGGAGACAAACCCUGCAGCUAAUCCAAUGCUAUGGCUAACGGCUACUUACGUUCAGAGAUGGGUCUGUUGGGUCGGUUCCAGUAAUUUCAGGCAACUCACAAGCUCAAAACAAUAAGGCUCAUGUCCGCUUGUCUCCUCCAAAUAGACUUGGUCCCUUUCUUCUCGAGUGUCUGGGUAAGGAGGGGGAGAAACGUCCUCCACUUCUAAUGACUGCUCAGAGUGAAGGGAGCUAGCUUCGUCUAGUUAGCCGUCUCUUCGUCACUGCCACGGCUCCGCCCUCUCGGUCCUCCAGGCAACGCCUACUAAUGUUGCAGUUUUCAAAAUUGAUACGUGGGUGGGGUAAGACUCUGAGGCACACUUGACAUGCACUUUAAUAAA